Molecule: long non-coding RNA, 1556 nt
Organism: Equus asinus (donkey)
Lineage: Eukaryota; Metazoa; Chordata; Mammalia; Perissodactyla; Equidae
Source: Ensembl
UGGGAUGGCAUGAACACGUCCCUGGAUCUUUGAUUUCUUGUUAAGUAAAAGUGGGCCCCUAAAAUCAAGGCAGAUGUUUUCACUGCCUGUCACCAAAGCAGAGGAGGGCAGCUGCUUAAGAUCAGUGAGGACACCACUGUGGGGUCUUCCCUCCAUUAGUCUCACCCUUGGAGCCCGGUCAUUCUAUCCUGAAGAGAAUGAACGUGCCCCGUGGGACAGCCCCUCAGGAGCCCCCACUGGCCCCUGUGGACAACCUGAGACCCCCGAGAGGAGACUGACCACUCCCUGCUGGCCCUGCCCUCCCAGGCCUGGGGGUCUCCGCCUUCUUUGUUCUGAGCUGGAGGAGGGAGGGGCUACUCUUCUCACAGAGGACCCUUGGCCCCUGGCCCAUGCUGGGUGUCCAAGGGAGGUAGGAAGCAGCCCUUCUAGGUGCCUCUGUCCACUUCGCCGGCACAGCUGUCCCGAGCCCAGGAACGGGCUCUUUCCUCUACUUACAGACUGAGGGAAAGCUCCUGCUUCCGAGGCAGGAGUCACAGCACCUGUGGAAGCAGACUCGCUGAGGGAGACCUUGAGUGACAGCCAUUCCAGCCUCAGCUUCCCUGGUGGUAAAAGAAGGGUGAGUUGGAGGCUUCUGAGUUAAUCUCGGCCAUCCAAUGUCCUGCCUGGUCUGGCGCUGGGGCACCCAGCCAGUGAGGCACGUCCCUGUCGUCGGGCUGCUCCAGUCGGAGGCUGGAGGCUGGGUGAGGGGCGGUGGUCGGGGUGGUGGAGGGGAGCCUCAAGCUGGACCUGCCACAGGCUUCUCUGGCUACACUGCUGGUUUCCUCAUGUGUCCCUCCCUUGGGAAAUGAGAGCGAGCCUCCAGGCCAGCUUCCAGCUGAGGGGCUCCCUGGAGUCCAUGGGUGUCCCACUGGUCAGCAAAGGGAGUGAGAAGCUUCCUCCCACUCAGCUGUCAGCCAGGAAGGGAGGGGACGCAUUCUGGACGCUUCAGGGGCAGGAUGAAAAAUACAGCCUCUGAGACUGGACAGCUCAAGGUGGAGGACAGGUGCAAGCGCUCUUCCAUCAGCUCCCAGAUGACCUGGCGUUGCUUCAUUUUCUCUCUGCUUACUCGAGAGGCAAGGCUCUUGCCUGGGAUGGUUCCUAUAGUCAAGCGAGUCAGUGGAUCGGCUUCAAGGGAGCUGUCUGUUUGCCCAGCUGCUGCUCGUUUUCCACAGCAGCUCUCGUGCACCGUCCCUUCAUUUCCUACAGAUGAGGAAACUGAAGCACAGGUAUGGAGGAAUCACCAUGAGUCUACCACAGGACACAGUCCCACGGGCAAAACCCACCAACGGAUGCUAAAACGAGGGGUGAACGGCUAAGGCACAGAGCAAGGAGUGGCAGGGCUAAGAUCUGACUCCAAUUCCUGCAGUCUUCACCACCACAUCUGGACUGUUCUAUUUUUUUCUAUGGGACCUAGUAGUAAAAUUUGGACCAACAGGUCGAAACUACAGGGAGAUAUAUUUCAAGUCAAUAUAAACAGUGUCUUUCUAUUUCCACUAUUCACAAAUAGAAUUGGCACA